This 714-nucleotide ribosomal RNA is filed under the name Paraburkholderia sp. Its description in RNAcentral is "bacterial SSU rRNA". It matches the Rfam family "Bacterial small subunit ribosomal RNA", at positions 340 to 1045 of the family's 1533-position model. The record is from RNAcentral. Lineage: Bacteria; Pseudomonadati; Pseudomonadota; Betaproteobacteria; Burkholderiales; Burkholderiaceae.
UACGGGAGGCAGCAGUGGGGAAUUUUGGACAAUGGGCGCAAGCCUGAUCCAGCAAUGCCGCGUGUGUGAAGAAGGCCUUCGGGUUGUAAAGCACUUUUGUCCGGAAAGAAAACCUCGUGGUUAAUACCCGUGGGGGAUGACGGUACCGGAAGAAUAAGCACCGGCUAACUACGUGCCAGCAGCCGCGGUAAUACGUAGGGUGCAAGCGUUAAUCGGAAUUACUGGGCGUAAAGCGUGCGCAGGCGGUUCGCUAAGACAGAUGUGAAAUCCCCGGGCUUAACCUGGGAACUGCAUUUGUGACUGGCGGGCUAGAGUAUGGCAGAGGGGGGUAGAAUUCCACGUGUAGCAGUGAAAUGCGUAGAGAUGUGGAGGAAUACCGAUGGCGAAGGCAGCCCCCUGGGCCAAUACUGACGCUCAUGCACGAAAGCGUGGGGAGCAAACAGGAUUAGAUACCCUGGUAGUCCACGCCCUAAACGAUGUCAACUAGUUGUCGGGUCUUCAUUGACUUGGUAACGUAGCUAACGCGUGAAGUUGACCGCCUGGGGAGUACGGUCGCAAGAUUAAAACUCAAAGGAAUUGACGGGGACCCGCACAAGCGGUGGAUGAUGUGGAUUAAUUCGAUGCAACGCGAAAAACCUUACCUACCCUUGACAUGUAUGGAACCCUGCUGAGAGGUGGGGGUGCCCGAAAGGGAGCCAUAACACAGGUGCUGCA